UGCAGAGCUGCUCCGCAGGCCGCUCUCCGCCUGGGAGGCGCGGGCCGCGCUUGCCUGGUGGCUGUGCGCUCUUCAGUUGCGCUGCUCGGCCUCAGGACACUUCUAGAAGGAAAAUUGAUUCUUCAUUUCGCUUCAGACGAAAGGAGCUAAAAAGUCUGCCAACUUAAAGAACUCGGACUCUCUUAGGGUGUACCACGUGACCUGUCGCAUUGCGCUCCGAGAUAUUCUGGAAAUGCUACUAAAGGAUCCAUUUAAAACCCCUGGAACACAAGUGUUAGUGCUGUUUCUGUUGUUACUGUGAAUGGCUCCUGGUAAAUAGGCCAUGGGUGAAGAGACCAUGCUUAUCAAGAAGAACAGGCAUCUCUAAGCAGAGACUUUGCUCCAAAGAGUUCUGGCUAUGUUAGUCUUUGGAAUACCUGCAAAUACACAGGAACAUAUGGAAAUGAAGAGACGAACCCUCAGUGAGGUGGACUCUCAUAACUCUAAGCAGAGGAGAGGUUAAAGUCACCCUAAUCCAUGCCAUCUGUUCAUGCGCUUGAAAGUCUGGCUACUUGAUUGCAAUGACUGUUGCAGAAGUUGCUGGGGAGGCCAUACCAGUGGGAUGUGGAAAAGAUAGCUUUGACUACGUUGGAAGCGCCGAGAGCCAGAGGUUCCGACUUCCUUGCCAAGAGAGAAGAGAGGGAAAUCGCCUGACACUGUUUCAGCCUAUUCGAUGUGCUGCUGGGCAUCAUUCAGUAAAGGAAACACCUUUCUGAUCUGAUAUCGAAGAGUAUGGUGGAUGUGCUUCUAAUGACAAUCUAGUGGUGGGGGAAGCAGCCGAGAGAAGUCGGUAGCCCAGUUUUCCAGUCAUGCCAAGACAGGAAGAGGAGGACUAGCUACCGAGAUUCCCUUGAGAGUGGAGAAAGAGGAAGAGAAUCCUGAUGGGAGAAUCCUGAUGGGAGGAUUAGCCCAACCCCAAGAUCACUAUAUGGGUAUUGUAAUUGGGGAAACAGAAAGCUGACAGAAGAUUAAAGCUUUGUGUGAAAUAAAGGGUCUUUCUGAUCCGUCCUGAGUAGGAGG
Long non-coding RNA from Struthio camelus australis, 1059 nucleotides. The record is from Ensembl. NCBI's taxonomy places the organism in Eukaryota, Metazoa, Chordata, Aves, Struthioniformes, Struthionidae.